RNAcentral lists this ribosomal RNA (433 nucleotides) under uncultured bacterium. RNAcentral describes it as "partial 16S ribosomal RNA". It matches the Rfam family "Bacterial small subunit ribosomal RNA", at positions 29 to 507 of the family's 1533-position model. The record is from RNAcentral.
AACGAACGCUGGCGGCAUGCCUAACACAUGCAAGUCGAACGAGACGACCCGGCCUUUUGGCGCCCGGCUUCUUAACGCGUGGGAACCUGCCCUUAAGUACGGCCUACCUCUCCGACAGGGGUGCUUAUACCGGACAGGGUCUUCGCACGAAUGAUUUAUUGCCCCUGGUUGGGCACGCGUUGGAUUAGCUUGUUGGUAGGGUAAAAGCCUACCAAGGCGACGAUCCAUAGCUGGUCUGAGAGGAUGAUUAGCCACACUGGGACUGAGACACGGCCCAGACUCCUACGGGAGGCAGCAGUGGGGAAUAUUGGACAAUGGGCGAAAGCAUGAUCCAGCAAUGACGCGUGAGUGAUGAAGGCCUUAGGGUUGUAAAGCUCUUUUACCCGGGAUGAUAAUGACAGUACCGGGAGAAUAAGCUCCGGCUAACUCCGUG